Molecule: ribosomal RNA, 262 nt
Filed under: uncultured Anaerolineaceae bacterium
Lineage: Bacteria; Bacillati; Chloroflexota; Anaerolineae; Anaerolineales; Anaerolineaceae
Description: partial 16S ribosomal RNA
Rfam family: Bacterial small subunit ribosomal RNA
Source: RNAcentral
UCGUCGUAUGUUAUAUGUGUCAUACGAGACUGCCGGUAAAAAGCCGGAGGAGGUGAGGAUGAUGUCAAGUCAGCAUGACCUUUAUAUCCAGGGCUACACACACGCUACAAUGGUCUGUACAAUGGGUAGCCAAGCCGCGAGGCGGAGCCAAUCCUGAAAGCAGGCCUCAGUUCAGAUUGCAGUCUGCAACUCGACUGCAUGAAGCCGGAGUUGCUAGUAACCGCAGGUCAGCAAUACUGCGGUGAAUACGUUCCCGGGUCUU